CUAUUAAUACAUGCAAGGCCCUUCAAACAGUGUGUCUGUCGCAGAAGUAUAAUUUUAUUGGCCUGUAGGACUGUGUGAGACUCAGGUGGCUCAGAGAGGCUGCUUUGUGGGAGGAGAAAAGCGUGCCUUUUGGAGAGAACUGAUAUCCUUGGUCUCAAGGCCCCUGUGCCCUCCAUCUUACCUGGAGCCUCAGAGGCCCAGCCAACCCUGCCCCUGACCACUCCUCACAACGGGGAAUCUCACAGGUGGUAUGUGUGGGUUUCCACCUUCACAAACCACACUCCUGUGCUUCUGGCUUAGGAGGCACCCACAGGUCCCCCAGACACAGCCCAGGGAGCGCUGGCCCGGAAUUGUCACAGGGGUAGCGGGUCCUCAUGUUGCGCACACACAGGUUGCCAGGCAGAGCGCACUGGGUCUCCCAGACCGCUGGCCCUCUGUUGCCCAGAAGGAAGAUAAACAUCACUCUGGCAGUCGUCCCUGCCCUCCCAGCCCCCGGGGCUCUUCCCAAAGAUGGAGACACUUUUCUCCCUGAAAGCUCUGCUCUCUCCACCUGCCCUGGGGGUCAUCUGUGUGUCCAGAGAGCUGCUUAGCAACCCAGGGUAACUGGGUGAUUGUGUCAACAGCUCAGGACCAAAGGCCGUGAGAGGCAGAGUCCACUUACUCUGCCAAAGCUGAGGAAGGUGACACCCCCCUGCCAGCCUCAGGCCCCUCCAUGCGGAGCCCUGCUCUCAGCAGCAGACUUCUCCCGUCUUGUCCCUUAGACUUCCCAAGCACAGUCACGGGGACCAGGAGUCUCCCUGUGAGAGACUGUCCCAGUGGGCACAGGGGGGCUCCUCCCCCAGCCAAUUGGGAGGGGGAAAAGCCUGCGAUGCUGAGGUCACAUGUGUGACUCUGGAAGGUGGCUGGUGGGAGAAGGCUGCUGCUCUACAUGCACAUGAGAUUCACAUGUGAGCAGUCAGCCAGGCACCCUUACCUCCCGAAGCAUGGACACCUCUUCCCACUUCUGCAAGCCACCCCCACCCCACUCCUCCUGAGCCGGCCCUCUCUUGAGUCAGUCACACCUUUCUUCUCCAAGGACUCUGCCUAGAGAUGGAUGGUGAGAUGGGUGGUGAGGUGCCAGCCGUUGGCAUUUCCUAUUCCUCCAGUGCAGGGUGGGAGCUGGGCCCAGGGGGAGGGGGUGGCUAGGCAUUGGAGGCAGCAGGGACUCAGGGGAGCUUCUCCUGUGGGCCGGUUUCACUCCCAGCAACACCAAUAAAAAUGAUGAUAAUAA
This is a long non-coding RNA of Pipistrellus kuhlii (Kuhl's pipistrelle), 1270 nucleotides long. RefSeq lists it as uncharacterized. The record is from RefSeq and is a predicted model, not a curated record. NCBI's taxonomy places the organism in Eukaryota, Metazoa, Chordata, Mammalia, Chiroptera, Vespertilionidae. The transcript has 2 exons.